AUUUGCAGGAAGAGGCAGACUAGGUUUAGAAUGACUCCAGGUGGUGGAGCGAAGAUCCAGGAGGUCCACCGUGUCCUCUCCAGAAGGAUGUAAACAGGAGCGAGGAGGCUGAGGAUGAUAAAUCCUCGAGCUGCUCCUGGAAUGCUGUGGGUGUGAACUCUCUAUGCCGGAGCGGGAGGAGGCCCCAAGAACUCAACAGGGAUCUGAGGAUCCUGAUUGGUCGGAGACAGAAGAACAGUUCGGAGGCCAAAGUUGAGCUUCUUGCAGAGAGGAGACGCCAUCUGCUGACUGUCUGUCUCUGACUUCACAUCCUGCCUCAUGAAGGACUUUCAGGAAGCUCCCUUUGGAUGAGGACAUCAUGCUACAGCUCAGCGUGUCAGCUUCUCCUCAUAUUGGUAUGAUCAGUAAAGAUGAUCGCCUAAAGUCGUUCCACAGCAUUUAAGGGGGCCAAUAUGAAGACACAGAUUUAUAUUUAAAGUCAAUAAUUCAUCUGAUGAUAUGAGUUAAAACAAAUAAAUCACAUUAAAGGGAGGAAUGCUUGGCAACUAAUUCAAAUCAAACCUCAAUUAAACUAUUAAAUCACUAGUAAACAACAGUGUGGUGAACAAACAUUGAUCCUCAAUUACAUUUUUAGUUCUACUAAAAUUUUGUGAAGUUUACAAAGCCUGUCCUUCAUAAAAAGUUCACUGACAAAGAACAGAGUUCUGGAUCUGUCCUGUUUUGACCAAAUUUAAUACAUCUAUGUAUUGAUUAGUGAUGGGUGUACCAAUACCAAUUAAAUAUAGAUUCCUCUACAUCAGCAGUUUUGGUAUUGACAACUCUAAGAUUGAUUAGUAGUUAAUAAAUACGAAAAUCAAAGUGCAUGUGUCAUUUCUGGAUGUUUUAGUUAUUAGGUGAAUUACUCCAGUGUUUUGACGUGAACACCACAAACCCUCAAAAUAUUGAAUGUUCCAUCAGCCAUGUGACCAGAGGAGCAGCGCAUUGUGUGCGUUACCAUUAACAACACAUCAAUAAAUAAUUGGUGAUUUUAGAAAGAAGGGUUUUGUAUUUUGAAUCCUGCACAUUGUUUCCUGGCCAGUUUGUUAUUAGGAUAAAAACAUAAUGUGUUUAAUACUAGAGCACCAUCGCUGGGUGAUUGUCACCCAAACAAAGUAUUUACAAAAUUUUCAAUAUGUGUCAUUUUCCUGAGUCUCAUGGGUUCGGGGAUAAAGUCUCACAUGUCCAGGGAAUGGGUGGACCAAAGACCAAGACUCUAGAAUAUUUUUUUUUUUUUUUUUUAAGGAAUUUUUUUGUUCUGAAAUUCCUAAUUUUUCUGUAAUUUU
Molecule: long non-coding RNA, 1322 nt
Organism: Oryzias melastigma (Indian medaka)
Lineage: Eukaryota; Metazoa; Chordata; Actinopteri; Beloniformes; Adrianichthyidae
Exons: 3
Source: RefSeq, a predicted model, not a curated record